Molecule: ribosomal RNA, 305 nt
Filed under: uncultured bacterium
Lineage: Bacteria
Description: bacterial SSU rRNA
Rfam family: Bacterial small subunit ribosomal RNA
Source: RNAcentral
ACCCACCUACGGGACGCAGCAGUCGGGAAUAUUGCACAAUGGAGGAAACUCUGAUGCAGUGACGCCGCGUGCAGGAAGAAGGUUCUCGGAUUGUAAACUGCUUUAGAUAGGGAAGAUAAAAGACUGUACCUAUAGAAUAAGCUCCGGCUAAAUACGUGCCAGCAGCCGCGGUAAUACGUAUGGAGCAAGCGUUAUCCGGAUUUACUGGGUGUAAAGGGAGAGUAGGUGGCAGAGCAAGUCCGAAGUGAAAACCCAAAGCUCAACUAUGGGAAUGCUUUAGAAACUGCUCAGCUAGAGUGCAGGAG